This is a long non-coding RNA of Nannospalax galili (Upper Galilee mountains blind mole rat), 457 nucleotides long. RefSeq lists it as uncharacterized. The record is from RefSeq and is a predicted model, not a curated record. Lineage: Eukaryota; Metazoa; Chordata; Mammalia; Rodentia; Spalacidae. The transcript is spliced from 2 exons.
UUCAUUUCCACGCACGCCCCUGUUCCCAGUGGUAGCUGUUCCCAAUCAAACGCUUUCCUUGGCUGGCUGGAGGGCACAGGAAAAGCUACUGCUGGCUGCUACCCUGAGAAGGAAAAUCCCAUGUGUCCAGCAUCAGCAGAGGAGGGAAAAAAAUCAGUGACCUGGAGCGCCCCUUCCUGAGAUUCCAGACUGCCUGGAAGUCACCAAGUGGACCAGACUGGCCUUGAUCGCCCAGAGAGCGGGCUGCCCUGGGCUCCCGUGGGCUGAGAUUAAAGGCACAUGCCACCACUCCCGGCGUGCUUUCACUUUUCUUUAAAGACUGUAUACUGAUUCAUGUAUAAUAAUGACGAUCAAAUCAGGUUGCUCUCCUUCCCUACUGUAUAUAGUAGCUUUCCCAUUUAUGACCUUGUGCUUUUCAGACACGCUUUUGGUAGAAAUACUUUAUCUGCUCCUAAAA